Molecule: ribosomal RNA, 222 nt
Filed under: uncultured bacterium
Lineage: Bacteria
Description: partial 16S ribosomal RNA
Rfam family: Bacterial small subunit ribosomal RNA
Source: RNAcentral
CGCGUAGGCAACCUGCCCCUCAGUACGGAAUAACUUCGGGAAACCGACGCUAAUACCGUAUGUCGUCUUAUGGUCGCAUGACCAAAAGAUGAAAGCCUUCGGGCGCUGAGGGAUGGGCCUGCGUCGGAUUAGGUAGUUGGUGAGGUAACAGCUCACCAAGCCAACGAUCCGUAGCUGGUCUGAGAGGAUGAUCAGCCACACUGGCACUGAGACACGGGCCAG